This 73-nucleotide transfer RNA is filed under the name Trueperaceae bacterium. RNAcentral's name for it is "tRNA-Thr". It matches the Rfam family "tRNA". Rfam says of the family: Transfer RNA (tRNA) molecules are approximately 80 nucleotides in length. Lineage: Bacteria; Thermotogati; Deinococcota; Deinococci; Trueperales; Trueperaceae. The record is from RNAcentral.
GCCGCGGUAGCUCAGUUGGUAGAGCAUCGGAUUCGUAACCCGAAGGUCGUGGGUUCAAGUCCCAUCCGCGGCU